RNAcentral lists this ribosomal RNA (301 nucleotides) under uncultured bacterium. RNAcentral's name for it is "partial 16S ribosomal RNA". It matches the Rfam family "Bacterial small subunit ribosomal RNA", at positions 509 to 807 of the family's 1533-position model. The record is from RNAcentral.
CAGUAGCCGCGGUAAUACGAAGGGGGCUAGCGUUGUUCGGAAUCACUGGGCGUAAAGCGCACGUAGGCGGACUUUUAAGUCAGGGGUGAAAUCCCAAGGCUCAACCUUGGAACUGCCUUUGAUACUGGAAGUCUUGAGUUCGGGAGAGGUGAGUGGAACUGCGAGUGUAGAGGUGAAAUUCGUAGAUAUUCGCAAGAACACCAGUGGCGAAGGCGGCUCACUGGCCCGAUACUGACGCUGAGGUGCGAAAGCGUGGGGAGCAAACAGGAUUAGAUACCCCGGUAGUCCCUGUCUCUUAUAC